This is a small nuclear RNA of Peromyscus maniculatus bairdii (prairie deer mouse), 160 nucleotides long. Its record names the gene U1. It matches the Rfam family "U1 spliceosomal RNA". From Rfam's summary of the family: U1 is a small nuclear RNA (snRNA) component of the spliceosome (involved in pre-mRNA splicing). Its 5' end forms complementary base pairs with the 5' splice junction, thus defining the 5' donor site of an intron. NCBI's taxonomy places the organism in Eukaryota, Metazoa, Chordata, Mammalia, Rodentia, Cricetidae. The record is from Ensembl.
AUCCUUACCUGGCAGGGGAGACACCAUGAUCAGGAAGGUGUUUUCCCAGGAUAAGGCUCACCCAUUGUACUUUGGGUGUGCUGAUUCCUGAGAUUUCCCCCAAAUAAUAAACUCAACUGCAUAAUUUGUGGUAGUGGGAGAGUGCAUUUGCACUCUCCUC